CCCGACUGCUAUCAGAGUGGGACUAAGCCAUGCGAGUCAACAUAGCAAUAUGUGGCAUACGGCUCAGUAACACGUAGUCAACAUGCCCAGGGGACGUGGAUAACCUCGGGAAACUGAGGAUAAACCGCGAUAAGUCACUACUUCUGGAAUGGGUAAUGACUCAAAUCUACAUGGCCCCUGGAUUGGACUGCGGCCGAUCAGGCUGUUGGUGAGGUAAUGGCCCACCAAACCUGUAACCGGUACGGGCUCUGAGAGGAGGAGCCCGGAGAUGGGCACUGAGACAAGGGCCCAGGCCCUAUGGGGCGCAGCAGGCGCGAAACCUCUGCAAUAGGCGAAAGCCUGACAGGGUUACUCUGAGUGAUUUCCGUUAAGGAGAUCUUUUGGCACCUCUAAAAAUGGUGCAGAAUAAGGGGUGGGCAAGUCUGGUGUCAGCCGCCGCGGUAAUACCAGCACCCCGAGUGGUCGGGACGUUUAUUGGGCCUAAAGCAUCCGUAGCCGGUUCUACAAGUCUUCCGUUAAAUCCACCUGCUUAACAGAUGGGCUGCGGAAGAUACUAUAGAGCUAGGAGGCGGGAGAGGCAAGCGGUACUCGAUGGGUAGGGGUAAAAUCCGUUGAUCCAUUGAAGACCACCAGUGGCGAAGGCGGCUUGCCAGAACGCGCUCGACGGUGAGGGAUGAAAGCUGGGGGAGCAAACCGGAUUAGAUACCCGGGUAGUCCCAGCUGUAAACGAUGCACACUCGGUGAUGAGUUGGCUUUAUGCCAACUCAGUGCCGCAUGGAAGCCGUUAAGUUUGCCGACUGGGGAG
This 805-nucleotide ribosomal RNA is filed under the name uncultured Front Range soil crenarchaeote FRA27x2. RNAcentral describes it as "bacterial SSU rRNA". It matches the Rfam family "Archaeal small subunit ribosomal RNA", at positions 21 to 835 of the family's 1478-position model. Lineage: Archaea; Thermoproteati; Thermoproteota. The record is from RNAcentral.